Molecule: ribosomal RNA, 478 nt
Filed under: uncultured bacterium
Lineage: Bacteria
Description: partial 16S ribosomal RNA
Rfam family: Bacterial small subunit ribosomal RNA
Source: RNAcentral
GACGAACGCUGGCGGCGUGCUUAACACAUGCAAGUCGAACGGUAAGGCCCUUCGGGAUACACGAGUGGCGAACGGGUGAGUAACACGUGGGUGAUCUGCCCUGCACUUCGGGAUAAGCCUGGGAAACUGGGUCUAAUACCGGAUAGGACCACUGCCUGCAUGGGUGGUGGUGGAAAGCUUUUGCGGUGUGGGAUGGGCCCGCGGCCUAUCAGCUUGUUGGUGGGGUGAUGGCCUACCAAGGCGACGACGGGUAGCCGGCCUGAGAGGGUGACCGGCCACACUGGGACUGAGAUACUGCCCAGACUCCUACGGGAGGCAGCAGUGGGGAAUAUUGCACAAUGGGCGCAAGCCUGAUGCAGCAACGCCGCGUGAGGGAUGACGGCCUUCGGGUUGUAAACCUCUUUCAGCACCGACGAAGCGCAAGUGACGGUAGGUGCAGAAGAAGGACCGGCCAACUACGUGCCAGCCGCCGCCGUAA